AAGUCGUAACAAGGUUUCCGUAGGUGAACCUGCGGAAGGAUCAUUAACACGUUGGAUAUGCUGGUAAAGUGCCAUCGUACGUAGCAAUCCCUGGUAAAUCAUCGCCGAACAGUUUUGAUUCAGGGACCUCUAUAGUCCGAAAGAGUCAUACCAUUAUAGCAUAUCGCAAUGGAUCUGGCAUUCCUCUGCUUGUUAGUGUCUGAAAGUGUCACUAGCUCUGUACGUCCCUGGGUGAAAGCCCCCUAUAGUCACCUCCAUUGCACGAUUAACGCGGUGUGCGAUUCGUAAAAAACCCUCCAUAAAAUGCUUAGAACAACUGUUAACAAUGGAUAUCUUGGUUCUC
RNAcentral lists this unclassified non-coding RNA (343 nucleotides) under fungal sp. RNAcentral describes it as "partial internal transcribed spacer region". The stretch from base 1 to 46 matches the Rfam family "Eukaryotic small subunit ribosomal RNA", at positions 1786 to 1831 of the family's 1831-position model. Lineage: Eukaryota; Fungi. The record is from RNAcentral.